UGCUGGUUUGGACAGCAGCCGAUGUCCAAUCAGACAACAGGACCGUAGGCCUUGUCAUAACGACAAGCAUGACAUCACUGCAAGGGCGAGCGGAAAGAAGACAGCGGAGCUCCAGACAGUCAGCGGGGCUCCACGGGGGCUGCACGCCGGACAGAGCGAGCCGGCUGCCGGAUAGAAACCGCGCGGACUACCGGGGCUGGAGGGUUGGAGGGGGACGCGCUGCUCAGGGCGCCGGUUGGACGUUUCAGCGCGGCUUCGGGAGCUCUGUCGCCGGACAAGUUGAUGCUUCCUCGCCGUGGGGGGGAAGAUAUGGAGGAGGUUGAGCGAAAUGGCAUCUUGUUUAAUUUCUGCCAAUCAAGACGAGAGGAAGACAACUCCCAAACUGGAAUGUCUGCGGAUGGCCCCAGCAAGCCAAAGUUUGUUGCCAUGUUUCCUAAAAAGGGGGACGAAUUUUCCACCAAAAUGCC
This is a non-coding RNA of Plectropomus leopardus (leopard coralgrouper), 467 nucleotides long. The record is from RefSeq and is a predicted model, not a curated record. Lineage: Eukaryota; Metazoa; Chordata; Actinopteri; Perciformes; Serranidae.